Molecule: ribosomal RNA, 416 nt
Filed under: uncultured cyanobacterium
Lineage: Bacteria; Bacillati; Cyanobacteriota
Description: bacterial SSU rRNA
Rfam family: Bacterial small subunit ribosomal RNA
Source: RNAcentral
UUCCCCAAUGGGCGAGAGCCUGACGGAGCAACGCCGCGUGAGGGAGGAAGGCCUGUGGGUCGUAAACCUCUUUUCUCAGGGAAGAAGUACUGACGGUACCUGAGGAAUCAGCAUCGGCUAACUCCGUGCCAGCAGCCGCGGUAAGACGGAGGAUGCAAGCGUUAUCCGGAAUUAUUGGGCGUAAAGCGUCCGUAGGUGGUAUAGAAAGUCUGUUGUUAAAUCCCACAGCUCAACUGUGGAUCGGCAAUGGAAACUACUAAACUUGAGUGUGGUAGGGGUAGAGGGAAUUCCUAGUGUAGCGGUGAAAUGCGUAGAUAUUAGGAAGAACACCAGUGGCGAAGGCGCUCUACUGGGCCAUAACUGACACUGAUGGACGAAAGCUAGGGGAGCGAAAGGGAUUAGAUACCCCUGUAGUC